CAAAGUUCCAACCGAGGAAGAAUUAGACUAUGCCAGUAUUUUCGCUCAGAGUAUUGAAAGAAUUGGAUGGCUCAAUGAUAAAGGUAAAUUGACAGAAGUUAAUGGGUCUCACGUUCCAAUGGCUUAUUGUAAAAUAGCUAUUCAGGAAAAGAUUGAAGUUGAAAACAUCAUAUGCAUUCAAUUUAAUUCAGAUGGGAAAGAAUUAAGAAAAUACAUUCAAUGUAAGGGAGUUGUUUCCGAAAUAUUAGCACAGAAAUCUAAAAGCGUCCAUACUUAUGUAAUCGUUAAAGCAGAUGAAAGGAAAUUGGGUGAAAAUGUUUUGUAUGUAGAAUAAUCAAUGCAAUGAUACAAUUCCUUAUUUUUAAUUGCAAUUUUUAUGAUUAUUCAAUUUAAUUUUUGGGAUUAAAAGUGAU
Long non-coding RNA from Gordionus sp. m RMFG-2023, 413 nucleotides. RefSeq lists it as uncharacterized. The transcript is spliced from 4 exons. NCBI's taxonomy places the organism in Eukaryota, Metazoa, Nematomorpha, Gordioida, Chordodea, Parachordodidae. The record is from RefSeq and is a predicted model, not a curated record.